This is a non-coding RNA of Callithrix jacchus (white-tufted-ear marmoset), 3052 nucleotides long. The record is from RefSeq and is a predicted model, not a curated record. NCBI's taxonomy places the organism in Eukaryota, Metazoa, Chordata, Mammalia, Primates, Cebidae.
CUUCCUUCGCCGGUUCUCAGGCGGCCUCCCCAGAAGGCGCAACCCUCAGUCUGAGAAGGCACAGCACUGUGACUACCCCUACCCCUGCUGGAGAGCUCCCCUCCCUUCCCGAAAGGUGCAAAGAAGGCGCGCCCCAGACUUCGUUGGCCUGGGGCAGUGGCUCACGUCUGUAAUCCUUGCACUUUGGGAUGCUGAGGAAGGCACAUCACCUGAGCUUAAAACUGCCAGACUGGAUCAGCAUAUGUGAUCUAAGAUCCUGUAAGAUCUGGCCCAGCCUGAUAUCUGUAUCUGUUAAGAAAAACUGACUGCCGCCGUCCCCAAGACCAGCAGCUCCAGGCCGGGCUGACACCGCUGCUUCGCCUCACCCCCGCCCAUGACCAUGUCAUCCUCUGAGGUGGCGUGGCACUUGCUCUUUCAGGCUCACAUGGCAAUGAAAACAACUUGUAUGUCUUCACAAGAAUCUGAUGAUGAACAGAGAAAAAGAGAAAACAUUCGUUCCUUGACUAUGUCUGGCCAUGUUGGUUUUGAGAGUUUGCCUGAUCAGCUGGUGAACAGAUCCAUUCAGCAAGGUUUCUGCUUUAAUAUUCUCUGCGUGGGGGAAACUGGAAUUGGAAAAUCAACACUGAUCGACACAUUGUUUAAUACUAAUUUUAAAGACCAUGAAUCCUCACAUUCUUGCCCAAAUGUUAAACAUUUGAACUCCAGGAACUCAGACAUAUGAACUCCAGGAAAGUAAUGUUCGAUUGAAAUUGACCAUUGUGAAUACAGUGGGAUUUGGUGACCAAAUAAAUAAAGAAGAGAGCUGCCAACCAAUAGUUGACUACAUAGAUGCUCAGUUUGAGGCCUAUCUCCAAGAAGAACUAAAGAUUAAGCGUUCUCUCUUUACCUACCAUGAUUCUCGCAUCCCUGUGUGCCUCUCCUUCAUUUCACCGACAGGCCACUCUCUGAAGACACUUGAUCUCUUAACCAUGAAGAACCUUGACAGCAAGGUAAACAUUAUACCAGUGAUUGCCAAAGCAGAUACGGUUUCUAAAACUGAAUUACAGAAGUUUAAGAUCAAGCUCAUGAGUGAAUUGGUCAGCAGUGGCGUCCAGAUAUACCAGUUCCCAACAGAUGAUGACACUGUUGCUAAGAUCAAUGCUGCGACGAAUGGACAGUUGCCGUUUGCUGUUGUGGGAAGUACGGAUGAGGUGAAAGUUGGAAACAAGAUGGUCAAAGCUCGCCAGUACCCUUGGGGUGUUGUACAAGUGGAAAAUGAAAACCACUGUGACUUUGUAAAGCUGCGGGAAAUGCUCAUUUCUACAAACAUGGAGGACCUGCAAGAACAGACCAUACCAGGCACUAUGAGCUUCAUAGGCGCUGCAAACUGGAGGAAAUGGGCUUUACAGAUGUGGGGCCAGAGAACAAGCCGGUCAGUCUUCAAGAGACCUAUGAAGCCAAAAGACAUGAGUUUCAUAGUGAAUGUCAGAGGAAGGAGGAAGAAAUGAAGCAGAUGUUUGUGCAGUGAGUAAAGGAGAAAGAAGCCAUAUUGAAAGCAGCUGAGAGAGAGCUACAGGCCAAAUCUGAGCACCUUCAGAGACUUCACCAAGAAGAGAGAAUGAAGCUCGAAGAAAAGAGAAGACUUUUGGAAGAAGAAAUAAUUGCUUUCUCUAAAAAGAAAGCUACCUCUGAGACAUUCCACAACCAGUCCUUUCUGGCAACAGGCAGCAAUCUGAGGCAGGACAAGGACCGUAAGAACUCCAAUUUUUUGUAAAACGGAAGUUCCAGAGCACGGAAGGUCAUCAUCACAAGCAAACUUUAUUUAAAAAAGCAACUAGAAGUGUGCUUUGAUUUUGUUGUUUUUAUUUGCUUUAUCACUUCGUCUAUAUUUGGCGAACAGCCACAGUGACUGUAUUUAUGGAAAAGUACCUUCAAGCACAAGGUCAAUAUGUAAGCCAGAGUGAAUUUUAUUAUAAGUUGAACAUCUCUAAUUCAAAAACCUGAAAUCCAAAAGCUUCAAAAUCUAAAUCUUUUUGAGCACUGACUUGACCCCACCUGACACCUUUGCUUUCUUAUGGUUCAAUUUAAACAGAUUUUGUUUCUUGCACAAAAUUACUAAAAAUGUUGUAUAAAUUACUUUCAGGCUAUGUGUAUAAGGUGUAUGUGAAACAUAAAUGAAUUAUGUAAUUAGAGCCGGGUCCCAUUGUGUUUAGGCAGAUAUUCUAGAAUCUGAAAUCCGAAACAUUUCUGAUGGCUAGCAUUUUGGAUAAGGGAUACUUAGCUUGUACCUAUAUAUUCAUAUAUAUUCACUGUUGUUAGAAAUUUUUAAGUUGCUGUUUUGUGAUGACUAAAUCUCUUCUCUUGCUACCAAGCUAUUGCCACUGCAGUGCAUUAUACCAAAGAGCACAGUGUCAGUGCCAUUGAAAAUACAGAACCCAUUCAUAUCGGGGCUAUGGCAUUGCAUUUAUAGUCCAAGAUGAACCUUUUUUAUAUAUACUAAAUAUUUUGGGGAAUAUGUUUUGGGAUAUAUUAUAGAGCUAAAACUCUAACCUCUUAAUAGUUUUAUAGAACUAAAAUUUUUGAUAGUUACCCUAUUGGUGAUACGAUCUUAAGCUUUUGUGUCAAAUUAUUUAACAUAUGACUUUAUGCUUCAGGAUGCCUUAUUGUGGCUGAUGUAUUACUGUUGUGAAACAAAAUAUCUUUAAAAGUUAAAACAUCCAGCUAUAUAAACUCUUUUUUUCCUAAUGAGAAAGUACCUUUGAACAUGGGUGUAUCACAGUUUUCGUUAGGAAAACAUUUUAUUACAUACUUGUUUAAACUCUGCCUUCCAGGGGAAAAAUAAUAAGGUUGAAUCAUUUUAUUAAAAAUAUUUUUUAAAAACAUAUGAACAUCUAAAUGUUAAAGAUAUAAAAAUGCAGAUUAAUUCAUAUUUUAUGUGAUGUUUGCAUUCAGGGCCUUACUAUUCCCAACACUUCAAUGAUUUCUAACAUUUCUUAACAUUCAUAGAUACAUUUUCAUUUUUUGUACUUGAAUAUUCUAAAUAAAACUGACAUUUACUCUUGAAAGAAAAAAA